This is a long non-coding RNA of Ailuropoda melanoleuca (giant panda), 1105 nucleotides long. RefSeq lists it as uncharacterized. The record is from RefSeq and is a predicted model, not a curated record. Lineage: Eukaryota; Metazoa; Chordata; Mammalia; Carnivora; Ursidae. The transcript is spliced from 2 exons.
CAGCAGAAAUGUGCCCCACAUCCCACCCACCGCCCAGGUGAGGGGUCUGCAGUUUGCCUGUGUGAAGUCUGGGUUUCACCCGCUGGCGGUGUGCAGGUUUUGCACUUGGCAGGUGUGGCUGACCUGUUCUGACCUGGAAGCCUCCAGAAUGACCUUUCCUGGGCCGUCUUCAGGGGGCAUACCCCUUCUCCUUUUUGGCUUGUCCUGUUUUUACAGUGAGGUCUCAGGAUGCUGUCAGGGAUCUUUCUGGAGGUUGUCCCUAACCCUGAAGCCCAUCACACUGAGGAGGGCAGCACAACCGUUUGCUCCCUACACUGACCUCUCCUCUCUCUCUCUCUCUCUCUUUAAAGGAAUUCUGCAACCUUCAAGUCGUUUGAAGACCGAGUUGGGACCAUAAAGUCUAAGGUUGUAGGCGGCAGAGAGAAUGGCAGUGACAACCUUGCCUCCCCGACCGGGAGUGGCGCCAAGCCCCUGCCUGAUCACACGCCUUUCUAAGCCCGUCGCAGCUUUGCCCGGCCGCGGAACAAGUACAAGCACACCCCCAUCGCCACGACUACGACUCCGCGGCGGAGCAGCCUGCCGGGCCGCGGGCAAGUGCGUAGAGCGGGCUUUGAGGAUCGUCGUGCCAUUCACAUGUAGACGUGGCCACGGCAUUCGCAUGAGCUCUACGGAACACGGUCUUGUACGCACAUGCUUCCCACUGAAGUCGGUAGAUGCAUACCACUGUGCGUCCGUCCUGGGCACAGGGAGCGGGCAGGACGGUGGGCCCUUUGGCAGUCUUGUUAGUUCAGGACAACGUGGAAGGGACGGGAGAGUGAUGAGCGUAAAAUAAGUGGUAUUGCCUCUGCCUCUCCUCUCGUAAGUGAUAGAAGGAGUCCGCGGAAGGAAGGUUCAUCCAGAAAGCCCUACCUGAUCUUCAGUUUUUAUUUCAAACGCUAAAUGAGAAAACUGUCCAUUUUCUGAAACCCUCCAGAAAAGAAACUGGUUAUCAGCAGCUGCCUAAUUGUUACACUAACAAUCUAGCUUUAACAAAGGCAAAUUUUUUAUUUUUUAAAUGCAGCGAAUUUUUCAAAAAUUAAAGCUAAGCAAAGCAGCUUUAGCCUCA